ACGGGUGAGUAACACGUGGGUGAUCUGCCCUGCACUUCGGGAUAAGCCUGGGAAACUGGGUCUAAUACCGGAUAGGAGCCAUUUUUAGUGUGAUGGUUGGAAAGUUUUUCGGUGUAGGAUGAGCUCGCGGCCUAUCAGCUUGUUGGUGGGGUAAUGGCCUACCAAGGCGGCGACGGGUAGCCGGCCUGAGAGGGUGGACGGCCACAUUGGGACUGAGAUACGGCCCAG
This 228-nucleotide ribosomal RNA is filed under the name uncultured Actinomycetales bacterium. RNAcentral's name for it is "partial 16S ribosomal RNA". It matches the Rfam family "Bacterial small subunit ribosomal RNA", at positions 102 to 334 of the family's 1533-position model. Lineage: Bacteria; Bacillati; Actinomycetota; Actinomycetes; Actinomycetales. The record is from RNAcentral.